This 253-nucleotide ribosomal RNA is filed under the name uncultured bacterium. RNAcentral's name for it is "partial 16S ribosomal RNA". It matches the Rfam family "Bacterial small subunit ribosomal RNA", at positions 524 to 776 of the family's 1533-position model. The record is from RNAcentral.
UCCGUAGGCAGCAAGCGUUGUUCGGAGUUACUGGGCGUAAAGAGUAUGUAGGCGGUUGGGUAAGUUUGGUGUGAAAUCUCCCGGCUUAACUGGGAGGGUGCGCUAAGGACUGCCUGGCUCGAGUGUGGGAGAGGAAAGCGGAAUUCCUGGUGUAGCGGUGAAAUGCGUAGAUAUCAGGAGGAACACCUGCGGUGUAGACGGCUUUCUGGGCCAUAACUGACGCUGAGAUACGAAAGCGUGGGUAGCAAACAGG